This is a long non-coding RNA of Prosopis cineraria, 2457 nucleotides long. RefSeq lists it as uncharacterized. The transcript is spliced from 4 exons. NCBI's taxonomy places the organism in Eukaryota, Viridiplantae, Streptophyta, Magnoliopsida, Fabales, Fabaceae. The record is from RefSeq and is a predicted model, not a curated record.
AAGAUUUUUUUUUUUUUAAAAAAAUAUAUAUAUACAUGCUUAAAAAUAUGUAUAUAUUAUUAACAUUUAAAAAUUUAAGUCAAUACUAAGUUGUUAUACUUUUUUAUUGUGUGAGAUUUUAGAAUCUCUACAUAUAUAUAGAAUAAUUAUAUUACCAUAUGAGCCAACAAGGUUUUGCAAGUAUAGUGGUUAAAUUCCUAAUCAUAAAAUAUAAAAAGUUAAUUUUAACCUCUUUUCUUUUCUUUAUUUUAAAAAUUCAAAAAUAGAGAAAAUAAUUAAAAUUAAAUUACUUUUUAUAAUUUAAAGUAGACAUAUCAAAAUUUCAAAAAAUUGUUUCAUUUGCAAAAUGGUGAAUUAUUUUUAAUUAAUUUCUAUUAAAAAAAUAUUUUCAUCAAUAAUUUAUAAUCCCAAACUAUAUGGAUUUUGAUCCCCAUCGCAGAGUACGUAGGCUUCAGAGUCUGAUUUUGAGUCAAGUCCUCCUUUGUAAAUAAAUAAAUAUUUCUACUUAAUUAUUAUCAUUUUUUAUCAAACAGGUGAAUAAGAAAUGGAUAAUUAAACUUUAAAGCUAUAUUAAUUUAGCACAACAAACUUUAGGUAACCGUUCUCACGAAUGGGUGUUGUGGGCUUUCUGUGCCAUGCGCUGCGGCGGGUAAGUCAGUAUGCUGAGGCGCACGGGCAAAAUUAGCACUUAUCAGAUUGUAGAAACAGACCGAGAACAGAAGAGAGAAGAAGGAAAAACGACAGAGCGAUGGAGAACUUUUAGUCUGUUAGGGCAUGAUCCCUAGGCUACUUUGAGGGCAUUUGGAACUUGAAUCACUAUUGGGCUCUGGUAGGGGCAAGAGAAAGGAAGGGGCAUUUGAAGAAUGAAGAGCAUCAUUAUGAUUGAUGAUUUGAUGAAGAUGUCCCUGGCCCCAAAGAUGAUUGAGUAGUUGGAGAUGAUGAUGUACCACUCAUUUCUUUAUAUUGAUCAAAUAUGGAUUGUUGGUGAGAUUUGUUCGAAAGUUAAAGGACAAGCCAAAUCUUAUUUUUGUACAAGAGGAACCCUUUUGGUAUCAAAGGGUUGAGGUAACAGGAGAAUUUAUAUUUCUUAUUACUUUAUUUAGCUAUUUUUGAGUAGAUAAUAUUAUCUAGCAUGCAUUACAUGUUUUAAACAAUUGAGUGGAAAUAAAACGUGUUUUAAAAGGGUUUAUGGGGUAUUGCUUUAAUAAUAAUGUAUCUAUGUUUGCUAUCUACUUAAUAAUGAUGUUACUCAAAGAAUAAGAUUAUUAGCAUGUAUUAUGAUCAUAAAAAAUGAGGAGUUUUACUUAGAAAAGUGCAACUAGGUUUAGGACCUUAGAUAGGCUAAGGAACCGCUUAAGGGAUAAAUUAUCAAUGUUAUACUACCUUGAGUGUUGAAGAGGUCAAUACUCAGGAAAGGUAGAAAAAGGGUAGAGGCAUGAUCUCGGUGGGAGUUCACCAAUGGGGAGAUGUGGUCUUGUGAUAUUUUAUGGCUCACUGUCAGUACUCAGUGUUACCUUUUGUAUUGUGGGCUCAGUAUACUAAAGUGGUUAGUGGAUUGAGUGUUCGACACCUCUCAGUGGGAGAGGGAAUCCAGCAUAUGAAGUGUGAGGUUGAGUGCCUAGGCCAAGGUAGCCCUCACUUGGAGAAUAAGUCAGGCUAGCUCUGGGAGGGAGUUAGCUUUGACUACUUAGGAUUCACGUUGAAUGACACAGGCAGUUUGGUGGAUCAAAUCAUACCUUAGUUUAUAUGCUGUGCCUAUGGAGGCACAGUGGAUACAAGGUUGACCUACAAGCUAAAGAGUGCCAAGGGGCAUUCUGUUGGUCAGGAAAGGCUAUAUCAGCCUAUCUCAUGCAUUCAAGCAUUUUAAUUGGUUAAUUAUAUGUUAUUUUGAAUCCAUUAUUUAUUCACUUGACUAUGGCUUUUUUUUGUAAUAAGGAAUAUCGAUAUCUUUGUUACUGAGAUUGUGAUUGUCUCGCCUAUUUCUUUUCAAUAUUUUCAAGUCUAGGUGAAGGAACCAAUGGAGGAUGGGAAAAAAGUAGUGCUAAAGGUUCUUUGUGAAAUGUAAAGAACUGCAACCCCUUUCUUUUGAGCAAAUCUAUUGUAAUGUAUUUAGGAUUAGGGUGCCACUAGGAUGUGAUUAUGUAUAUAUAUGUGUGAGUAUGUGUGGAUUGUAUGGCUUGUGUAUGAAUUUUUGUUUGCUUGUAGACUUAUGGCUAGGAAACUUGGCUAUGGUGUGUGAUUUUGAUGAAUUUAUUUAGUAGACCAGUUUUCACUAUAACUAAAUAUUUAUUUUGGUAUAUAUGUGAUUCCACAAGCAAAUACAAAGUAGUUGCAUUGCAAAUGGUGUGCUAUGGGCAAACAUACACCUUGAAUAGAGAGAGUGGGUGCGUGGGCCCCACGGAGAUCUUUGAGCCAAGUGAAAAUAUUUAGCGUGUGUAUUCAUAUGUGUAUAUGAUA